UGCUUUUCACUGUUGUAGCAGAAAUGCUAAGUCAUGGCCUGAACCAGUGAUUGAGCACCUGGUGGGAAGGUAGGGCCAACCCAGGGGAGCUCAGCUGCAUGUGGAGCACCUGAGUGAUUGGAAGGCAUGGAGCCAGGAUCCACCCCUUCCCAGACUUCAUUUAAGGGUUAGCAGUGGAGGUGAGGAUAUCUUGUUGGAGGUUACUGCUUACUGAAGGUCUUCACAAGUGUAUGCUGGUGGAACAAUACCAAGUUAUCUCUCAAACUUCCAAAGCUGGCUGGAGCUGGAUGUGAGGUUUUUACAAGGUAACCACCAAAAGCAGUAAAGUGAAAGCUACAGAACUGGCAGACAUCGGUAUCUAAUAGCUGGUGUCCUUCCUCCUUUCCUGCUGUUACAUAUGCUCUGUGAAAUGGUGUCAAUGAACAGAAGACAACCAAGCCUGCUUUUUCUUUUCCCAACUCAUCAUACAGUGUACCUUGUC
This 481-nucleotide long non-coding RNA is filed under the name Gallus gallus (chicken). Its description in RNAcentral is "long non-coding RNA NONGGAT006667". Lineage: Eukaryota; Metazoa; Chordata; Aves; Galliformes; Phasianidae. The record is from RNAcentral.